CUACGGGUGGCAGCAGUGGGGAAUAUUGGACAAUGGGGGAAACCCUGAUCCAGCAAUACCGCGUGUGUGAAGAAGGCCUGCGGGUUGUAAAGCACUUUCGGUUGGGAGGGCUGCUUCUAGCACUAAUAUUGUUGGAAGUUGACGUUACCUUCAGAAGAAGCACCGGCUAACUCCGUGCCAGCAGCCGCGGUAAUACGGAGGGUGCAAGCAGUUAAUCGGAAUUACUGGGCGUAAAGCGCGCGUAGGGGGCUAGAUCAGUCGGGUGUGAAAGCCCCGGGCUUAACCUGGGAACUGCAUCCGAUACUGUCUAGCUUGAGUACAGGAGAGGAGAGUGGAAUUCCACAUGUAGCGGUGAAAUGCGUAGAUAUGUGGAGGAACACCAAUGGCGAAGGCAGCUCUCUGGCCUGAUACUGACGCUGAGGUGCGAAAGCGUGGGGAGCAAACAGGAUUAGAUACCCUUGUAGUC
RNAcentral lists this ribosomal RNA (466 nucleotides) under uncultured bacterium. RNAcentral's name for it is "partial 16S ribosomal RNA". It matches the Rfam family "Bacterial small subunit ribosomal RNA", at positions 339 to 795 of the family's 1533-position model. The record is from RNAcentral.